UAGCAUAUGCUUGUCUCAAAGAUUAAGCCAUGCAUGUCUAAGUACGCACGGCCGGUACAGUGAAACUGAGAAUGGCUCAUUAAAUCAGUUAUGGUUCCUUUGGUCGCUCGCUCCUCUCCUACUUGGAUAACUGUGGUAAUUCUAGAGCUAAUACAUGCCGACGGGCGCUGACCCCCUUCGCGGGGGGGAUGCGUGCAUUUAUCAGAUCAAAACCAACCCGGUCAGCCCCUCUCCGGCCCCGGCCGGGGGGCGGGCGCCGGCGGCUUUGGUGACUCUAGAUAACCUCGGGCCGAUCGCACGCCCCCCGUGGCGGCGACGACCCAUUUGAACGUUUGCCCUAUCAACUUUCGAUGGUCGUCCGCCGUGCCUACCAUGGUGACCACGGGUGACGGGGAAUCAGGGUUCGAUUCCGGAGAGGGAGCCUGAGAAACGGGUACCACAUCCAAGGAAGGCAGCAGGCGCGCAAAUUACCCACUCCCGACCCGGGGAGGUAGUGACGAAAAAUAACAAUACAGGACUCUUUUGAGGCCCCGUAAUUGGAAUGAGUCCACUUUAAAUCCUUUAACGAGGAUCCAUU
Molecule: ribosomal RNA, 577 nt
Filed under: uncultured eukaryote
Lineage: Eukaryota
Description: SSU rRNA
Rfam family: Eukaryotic small subunit ribosomal RNA
Source: RNAcentral